Molecule: ribosomal RNA, 478 nt
Filed under: uncultured bacterium
Lineage: Bacteria
Description: partial 16S ribosomal RNA
Rfam family: Bacterial small subunit ribosomal RNA
Source: RNAcentral
GACGAACGCUGGCGGCGUGCUUAACACAUGCAAGUCGAACGGUAAGGCCCUUCGGGGUACACGAGUGGCGAACGAGUGAGUAACACGUGGGUGAUCUGCCCUGCACUUCGGGAUAAGCCUGUGCAACUGGGUCUAAUACCGGAUAGGACUCCGGACUGCAUGGUCUGGGGUGGAAAGCUUUUGCGGUGUGGGAUGGGCCCGCGGCCUAUCAGCUUGUUGGUGGGGUGCUGGCCUACCAAGGCGACGACGGGUAGUCGGCCUGGGAGGGUGACCGGCGGCACUGGGACAGAGAGACGGCCCAGACUCCUACGGGAGGCAGCAGUGGGGAAUAUGGCGCAAUGGGCGCAAGCCUGAUGCAGCGACGCCGCGUGAGGGAUGACGGCCUUCGGGUGGUAAACCGCUUUCAGCACAGACGAAGCGCAAGUGACGGUAUGUGCAGAAGAAGGACCGGCCAACUACGUGCCAGCAGCCGCAGUAA